Molecule: non-coding RNA, 72 nt
Organism: Phrynosoma platyrhinos (Desert horned lizard)
Lineage: Eukaryota; Metazoa; Chordata; Lepidosauria; Squamata; Phrynosomatidae
Source: the annotation of a GenBank genome assembly
CCAUGUAUGAUGUAGUGGUUUGAGUGUUGGACUACAACUCUGGAGACUAGGGUUCAAUUCCCAGUGGGUGAC